GACGAACGCUGGCGGCACGCUUAACACAUGCAAGUCGAACGAGAGAAGAGAAGCUUGCUUUUCUGAUCUAGUGGCGGACGGGUGAGUAACACGUGAGCAAUCUGCCUUUCAGAGGGGGAUACCGAUUGGAAACGAUCGUUAAUACCGCAUAACAUAAUUGAACCGCAUGAUUUGAUUAUCAAAGAUUUAUCGCUGAAAGAUGAGCUCGCGUCUGAUUAGCUAGUUGGUAAGGUAACGGCUUACCAAGGCGACGAUCAGUAGCCGGACUGAGAGGUUGAUCGGCCACAUUGGGACUGAGACACUGCCCAGACUCCUACGGGAGGCAGCAGUGGGGAAUAUUGCACAAUGGAGGAAACUCUGAUGCAGCGAUGCCGCGUGAGGGAAGAAGGUUUUAGGAUUGUAAACCUCUGUCUUCAGGGACGAAAAAAGACGGUACCUGAGGAGGAAGCUCCGGCUAACUACGUG
Molecule: ribosomal RNA, 465 nt
Filed under: uncultured bacterium
Lineage: Bacteria
Description: partial 16S ribosomal RNA
Rfam family: Bacterial small subunit ribosomal RNA
Source: RNAcentral